RNAcentral lists this long non-coding RNA (246 nucleotides) under Anas platyrhynchos (mallard). RNAcentral's name for it is "lncRNA (ENSAPLG00020014299.1)". Lineage: Eukaryota; Metazoa; Chordata; Aves; Anseriformes; Anatidae. The record is from RNAcentral.
UCGAAACACCGAUUUCCCCCAGCCCCUUAGCAGAUGGAUCAGAUAGCCUUUAAUGAUCUUCUCUCCUUACGAGGUAGACAUAAGGCACGUUUUCCUAGAUAUCCUCCCCACCCCCCCGUAAAGCGGUACCCUUUAAAUCCUGCAGCCAAGAAGUUCAUAUGCUCAAUGGAUGACAAAGUAAGGCUGCAGUAUGAGAGUGCGAAGAGUUUUUUUCCAGACCAGCUUCAUUCAGGUGUCCUACAUUAG